GACGGACGAACGCUGGCUGCUUGACUAAGCAUGUCAAACGAACAGACAUGUUUUUACGGAUCUACUCGAGAGGCGAACGGGUAAAUAACACGUGAUGUGAUCUGCCCUGCACUAUGAGAUAAGCCUAGUAAACUGGAUCUCAUACAGGAUCGGACCUCACUUUAGGGGGUGGGGAGGAAAUUUUUUGCAGGAUGAGAUCACCCCCCAUCCUAUCGUUUUGGGGGUGAGGUAAUGGCCAAGCCGCGCGGCGACGGCUGACCGGACUGGGAGGUUGCUCAUUCACAUUGGAGACUGAGAUACGACUCAUACUCCUACGGGAGGUAGGAAAGAUUAAUAUUGCACAGUGGGCGCGAUCCUGAUACACCGACUCCGGGAUGAGGAUCACCGCGUUCAAGACCCUAUCUCCUUUGGCCAAGGACUAUGUGUUUUGUGACGGUACAUAAAGAACAAGUAACUACUAACUACGUGCCAGCAGACGACGUAAUACGUAAGGUGCAAGCGUUAUCCUGAAUUACUGAGCGUUAAGAGCUCGUAGUGGUUUGUCCGUCGUCUGCGAAAUUCCACAGCUUAACUGUGGCGUGCAGGCGAUACGGGCUGACUUGAGUACUGUAGGGGUAACUGGAAUUCCUGGUGUAGCGGUGAAAUGCGCAGAUAUCAGGAGGAACACCGAUGGCGAAGGCAGGUUACUGGGCAGUUACUGACGCUGAGGAGCGAAAGCAUGGGUAGCAAACAGGAUUAGAUACCCUGGUAGUCCAUGCCGUAAACGGUGGGCGCUAGGUGUAGGGGCCUUUUGGGGUUUCUGUGCCGUAGCUAACGCAUUAAGCGCCCCGCCUGGGGAGUACGGCCGCAAGGCUAAAACUCAAAGGAAUUGACGGGGGCCCGCACAAGCGGCGGAGCAUGUGGAUUAAUUCGAUGCAACGCGAAGAACCUUACCUGGGCUUGACAUACACCAGAUCGCUGCAGAGAUGUAGUUUCCCUUGUGGCUGGUGUACAGGUGGUGCGUGGCUGUCGUCAGCUCGUGUCGUGAGAUGUUGGGUUAAGUCCCGCAACGAGCGCAACCCUUGUCUUAUGUUGCCAGCACGUUAUGGUGGGGACUCAUGAGAGACUGCCGGGGUUAACUCGGAGGAAGGUGGGGACGACGUCGAGUCAUCAUGCCCCUUAUGUCCAGGGCUUCACACAUGCUACAAUGGCCGGUACAAUGCGCAGCGAGCCUGUGAGGGUGAGCUAAUCGCUUAAAGCUGGUCUUAGUUCGGAUUGGGGUCUGCAACUCGACCCCAUGAAGUCGGAGUCGCUAGUAAUCGCAGAUCAGCAAUGCUGCGGUGAAUACGUUCCCGGGCCU
RNAcentral lists this ribosomal RNA (1339 nucleotides) under uncultured bacterium. Its description in RNAcentral is "partial 16S ribosomal RNA". It matches the Rfam family "Bacterial small subunit ribosomal RNA", at positions 24 to 1381 of the family's 1533-position model. The record is from RNAcentral.